UUAAGCGACUAAGCGUACACGGUGGAUGCCCUGGCAGUCAGAGGCGAUGAAGGACGUGCUAAUCUGCGAUAAGCGUCGGUGAGGUGAUAUGAACCGUUAUAACCGGCGAUUUCCGAAUGGGGAAACCCAGUGUGUUUCGACACACUAUCAUUAACUGAAUCCAUAGGUUAAUGAGGCGAACCGGGGGAACUGAAACAUCUAAGUACCCCGAGGAAAAGAAAUCAACCGAGAUUCCCCCAGUAGCGGCGAGCGAACGGGGAGGAGCCCAGAGCCUGAAUCAGUGUGUGUGUUAGUGGAAGCGUCUGGAAAGGCGCGCGAUACAGGGUGACAGCCCCGUACACAAAAAUGCACAUACUGUGAGCUCGAUGAGUAGGGCGGGACACGUGGUAUCCUGUCUGAAUAUGGGGGGACCAUCCUCCAAGGCUAAAUACUCCUGACUGACCGAUAGUGAACCAGUACCGUGAGGGAAAGGCGAAAAGAACCCCGGCGAGGGGAGUGAAAAAGAACCUGAAACCGUGUACGUACAAGCAGUGGGAGCCUCUUAAUGGGGUGACUGCGUACCUUUUGUAUAAUGGGUCAGCGACUUAUAUUCUGUAGCAAGGUUAACCGAAUAGGGGAGCCGAAGGGAAACCGAGUCUUAACUGGGCGUUAAGUUGCAGGGUAUAGACCCGAAACCCGGUGAUCUAGCCAUGGGCAGGUUGAAGGUUGGGUAACACUAACUGGAGGACCGAACCGACUAAUGUUGAAAAAUUAGCGGAUGACUUGUGGCUGGGGGUGAAAGGCCAAUCAAACCGGGAGAUAGCUGGUUCUCCCCGAAAGCUAUUUAGGUAGCGCCUCGUGAAUUCAUCUCCGGGGGUAGAGCACUGUUUCGGCAAGGGGGUCAUCCCGACUUACCAACCCGAUGCAAACUGCGAAUACCGGAGAAUGUUAUCACGGGAGACACACGGCGGGUGCUAACGUCCGUCGUGAAGAGGGAAACAACCCAGACCGCCAGCUAAGGUCCCAAAGUCAUGGUUAAGUGGGAAACGAUGUGGGAAGGCCCAGACAGCCAGGAUGUUGGCUUAGAAGCAGCCAUCAUUUAAAGAAAGCGUAAUAGCUCACUGGUCGAGUCGGCCUGCGCGGAAGAUGUAACGGGGCUAAACCAUGCACCGAAGCUGCGGCAGCGACGCUUAUGCGUUGUUGGGUAGGGGAGCGUUCUGUAAGCCUGUGAAGGUGGCCUGUGAGGGUUGCUGGAGGUAUCAGAAGUGCGAAUGCUGACAUAAGUAACGAUAAAGCGGGUGAAAAGCCCGCUCGCCGGAAGACCAAGGGUUCCUGUCCAACGUUAAUCGGGGCAGGGUGAGUCGACCCCUAAGGCGAGGCCGAAAGGCGUAGUCGAUGGGAAACAGGUUAAUAUUCCUGUACUUGGUGUUACUGCGAAGGGGGGACGGAGAAGGCUAUGUUGGCCGGGCGACGGUUGUCCCGGUUUAAGCGUGUAGGCUGGUUUUCCAGGCAAAUCCGGAAAACCAAGGCUGAGGCGUGAUGACGAGGCACUACGGUGCUGAAGCGACAAAUGCCCUGCUUCCAGGAAAAGCCUCUAAGCAUCAGGUAACAUUAAAUCGUACCCCAAACCGACACAGGUGGUCAGGUAGAGAAUACCAAGGCGCUUGAGAGAACUCGGGUGAAGGAACUAGGCAAAAUGGUGCCGUAACUUCGGGAGAAGGCACGCUGAUAUGUAGGUGAAGCGACUUGCUCGUGGAGCUGAAAUCAGUCGAAGAUACCAGCUGGCUGCAACUGUUUAUUAAAAACACAGCACUGUGCAAACACGAAAGUGGACGUAUACGGUGUGACGCCUGCCCGGUGCCGGAAGGUUAAUUGAUGGGGUUAGCGGUAACGCGAAGCUCUUGAUCGAAGCCCCGGUAAACGGCGGCCGUAACUAUAACGGUCCUAAGGUAGCGAAAUUCCUUGUCGGGUAAGUUCCGACCUGCACGAAUGGCGUAAUGAUGGCCAGGCUGUCUCCACCCGAGACUCAGUGAAAUUGAACUCGCUGUGAAGAUGCAGUGUACCCGCGGCAAGACGGAAAGACCCCGUGAACCUUUACUAUAGCUUGACACUGAACAUUGAGCCUUGAUGUGUAGGAUAGGUGGGAGGCUUUGAAGUGUGGACGCCAGUCUGCAUGGAGCCGACCUUGAAAUACCACCCUUUAAUGUUUGAUGUUCUAACGUGGGCCCCUUACCGGGGUUGCGGACAGUGUCUGGUGGGUAGUUUGACUGGGGCGGUCUCCUCCUAAAGAGUAACGGAGGAGCACGAAGGUUGGCUAAUCCUGGUCGGACAUCAGGAGGUUAGUGCAAUGGCAUAAGCCAGCUUGACUGCGAGCGUGACGGCGCGAGCAGGUGCGAAAGCAGGUCAUAGUGAUCCGGUGGUUCUGAAUGGAAGGGCCAUCGCUCAACGGAUAAAAGGUACUCCGGGGAUAACAGGCUGAUACCGCCCAAGAGUUCAUAUCGACGGCGGUGUUUGGCACCUCGAUGUCGGCUCAUCACAUCCUGGGGCUGAAGUAGGUCCCAAGGGUAUGGCUGUUCGCCAUUUAAAGUGGUACGCGAGCUGGGUUUAGAACGUCGUGAGACAGUUCGGUCCCUAUCUGCCGUGGGCGCUGGAGAACUGAGGGGGGCUGCUCCUAGUACGAGAGGACCGGAGUGGACGCAUCACUGGUGUUCGGGUUGUCAUGCCAAUGGCACUGCCCGGUAGCUAAAUGCGGAAGAGAUAAGUGCUGAAAGCAUCUAAGCACGAAACUUGCCCCGAGAUGAGUUCUCCCUGACUCCUUGAGAGUCCUGAAGGAACGUUGAAGACGACGACGUUGAUAGGCCGGGUGUGUAAGCGCAGCGAUGCGUUGAGCUAACCGGUACUAAUGAACCGUGAGGCUUAACCUU
This 2903-nucleotide ribosomal RNA is filed under the name Escherichia coli KTE17. RNAcentral describes it as "bacterial LSU rRNA". It matches the Rfam family "Bacterial large subunit ribosomal RNA". The record is from RNAcentral. Lineage: Bacteria; Pseudomonadati; Pseudomonadota; Gammaproteobacteria; Enterobacterales; Enterobacteriaceae. RNAcentral also lists the same sequence under 2 other names.